AUGACCAUCCUGCUGAGGAUGGGAGGCCACUUACACCUGACAGGGUGGGUUAUGUUCCCACAGCACGUGAUGCAUGCAUGGAUGUACUGCCCUAUUGAUCCUCUUCCAUGCUUCUCUCAUAGGCUGAGAAAACAUCCACCAAGUCUUCUUGAAGAAGACCGAAAUACCCAAGCACACCUGCAAGAACACCCAGCUGGUUCAGAUUCUCAAACAAGGUGUUAUUAUUCUGAAAGUUUUCAGAAGAAUGUCAGCUAUCUUCAGUCAGAUGUGGCCACAUCUUGUCAUUGAAGGAGGUGUCCUUGUUGCUUAAGGCAGAGGGAUGAUCUCAUCUCUUUCCUUCUCCUGUGUUUUGCUGUUUUACAGUUUGUCAAAAUCCAGGUCUAUUCUGUCUUAAUGGUGUCCCAGUGAUGCUACUUCAGCAGGUUGAUGAUCCUGUCUGGGAUCUACACCUGCAACCUUUCUGUUUUUAGAGAGACCUGUUAGGAAAAUGGUUUUCAUAAAAGCAAUGCUUACAUCUGGUUCUAAACUACUUACAACAUCAGCAGCAAACAUCUAUCACCAGCACUUUAAAGUGAAUGUGCUGCCUCAGAUGAAGUGUUGUAAGACUGUCUAGAGCUCAAUAUACUUACUACAUUAAGAGUAACCUCUUCUAGUAAUUAGAAGCAUUUCCUGAUAUGAAAGACUGUAGAAAAUAUCUUCUAUUGAGUAAAUUUUCAUUCUUUUCCACAUUGAUUCAGCUUAGUGUAGCUAAAACAAAGAUAUAAAUUUUGGAUGAAAAGGGGAAUAUGAGAAGUCAAGAAAGAAGUGACCAGUAAUGGACCAAUUCUGUACUCACCAUUGAUAAGUAAUCAGCAUUUAUCAUUACUCAUUUUGCAGAAAUGAUCUUCCAGCUUUGGUUCCAAAGUUAUAAAUAGGAUUUUCACUUGAAAAUUUGCUGAAAAACACAGAGUAAAAGUUUAUCUGCAGCAUAAAAAAAAUUAAUUUACACAGCUAUCCUGAGAAAGAAAUGUGUGACGGUGUUCACAGGGGUUCUUGGAUGAGGGAAGAGAUGAGGAUCUGACUCCAUGUUUCAGAAGGCUUGAUUUAUUAUUUUAUGAUAUAUAUUAUAUUAAAACUAUACUAAAAGACUAAAACAAAAUGUUCUUAUCAGAAGGCUAGCUAAGAAUAGAAUAGGAAAGAAUGAUAACAAAGGUUUGUGGCUCAGGCUCUGUGUCCAAGCCAGCUGGGCUGUGAUUGGCCAUUAAUUAGAAACAUCCAGCAUGGACCAAUCCCAGAUGCACCUGUUGCA
This 1288-nucleotide long non-coding RNA is filed under the name Zonotrichia albicollis (white-throated sparrow). RNAcentral's name for it is "lncRNA (ENSZALG00000009060.1)". The record is from RNAcentral. Lineage: Eukaryota; Metazoa; Chordata; Aves; Passeriformes; Passerellidae.